GUAACACUUAGUAUCACAUACUUUGUGUCAAAGUAUGCAUGUUGAAGCUCUGAGUUGGAGUAUAAGGGUAGGUUAGCGUAGACCAAGUGUUCCAGUGUUAGGAACGCAAAAGACUCAGAAGAAGUUGUCUGAAUUCCCUCUUCUUUAAAUAUUUGUCGAAUGGCUUGUGUGACAAAAGAUCUCAAGCGGUUGAAAGUCAAAACAUUUGUAAUUUGUAUACCUUCUUAUAAUAGCAUUUCCUUCAGUACCUAGUUCUCAACUUUGAAAGAGUGAGGCUUGGCCCCAUAGUCAUAAUAGUCGACGGUACGUUCACCUCUGGUUGUCUUGAUACGAAUUUUUAUCCCUCUUGUUGUAAUGGGCUUGCUGAAAGUAAAAAUCAUUCCUCUUACCAAGAGACAUAUACGUUUGGUGACUUAGCGAGUAGCUAAAUGAGGUAGGAGAUAAUGCAAUGGGUGUAUGAAUGGCCAAGAUCUCCUCACUUGGUAGAACUUGACUUCCACUUCCCACUUGUUGAUAGGGGUUAACCAUAUGGGGGUUUCCUUGGUAUGUCCUUACUUCGGCCGAGACGUGGUUGUAAGCAUGUGCCAUCACCUCAGAGUAAGUCUUCCAAGUGUUGGCAUUGAUCAUGUACUUGAAGAAACAAUCACGUAGGCCUGCCAUGAAGGCCUUGAGGGCGGUCUUAUCAUCUGCCUCAGCGCAGCGAGAAU
This 707-nucleotide long non-coding RNA is filed under the name Malus domestica (apple). RNAcentral's name for it is "long non-coding RNA (MDOM_LNC006301)". Lineage: Eukaryota; Viridiplantae; Streptophyta; Magnoliopsida; Rosales; Rosaceae. The record is from RNAcentral.